RNAcentral lists this ribosomal RNA (120 nucleotides) under Hordeum vulgare subsp. vulgare (domesticated barley). Lineage: Eukaryota; Viridiplantae; Streptophyta; Magnoliopsida; Poales; Poaceae. The record is from RNAcentral.
GGACGCGAUCAUACCAGCACUAAAGCACCGGAUCCCAUCAGAACUCUGAAGUUAAGCGUGCUUGGGCGAGAGUAGUACUAGGAUGGGUGACCCCCUGGGAAGUCCUCGCUUACAUGAGCC